RNAcentral lists this ribosomal RNA (565 nucleotides) under uncultured marine bacterium. RNAcentral describes it as "bacterial SSU rRNA". It matches the Rfam family "Bacterial small subunit ribosomal RNA", at positions 61 to 619 of the family's 1533-position model. The record is from RNAcentral.
GUCGAACGGUAACAGAUCUAGCUUGCUAGAUGCUGACGAGUGGCGCACGGGUGCGUAACGCGUGUACAAUCUACCUCUAACUGAGGGAUAGCCCAGAGAAAUUUGGAUUAAUACCUCAUAGUAUUAUAUUAAGGCAUCUUUUUAUAAUUAAAACUCCGGUGGUUAGAGAUGAGUAUGCGUCCUAUUAGCUGGUUGGUAAGGUAAUAGCUUACCGAGGCUACGAUAGGUAGGGGGCCUGAAAGGGUGAUCCCCCACACUGGUACUGAGACACGGACCAGACUCCUACGGGAGGCAGCAGUGAGGAAUAUUGCACAAUGGAGGAAACUCUGAUGCAGCCAUGCCGCGUGCAGGAUGAAUGCCCUAUGGGUUGUAAACUGCUUUUAUACAAGAAGAAACAUCAGUACGUGUACUGACUUGACGGUAUUGUAUGAAUAAGCACCGGCUAACUCCGUGCCAGCAGCCGCGGUAAUACGGAGGGUGCAAGCGUUAUCCGGAUUUAUUAGGUUUAAAGGGUCCGCAGGCGGAAUAUUAAGUCAGUGGUGAAAGCCUACAGCUCAACUGUAGA